This 467-nucleotide ribosomal RNA is filed under the name uncultured bacterium. Its description in RNAcentral is "partial 16S ribosomal RNA". It matches the Rfam family "Bacterial small subunit ribosomal RNA", at positions 29 to 507 of the family's 1533-position model. The record is from RNAcentral.
ACGAACGCUGGCGGCGUGCUUAACACCUGCAAGUCGAACGGAAAGGCCCUGCUUUUGUGGGGUGCUCGAGUGGCGAACGGGUGAGUAACACGUGAGUAACCUGCCCUUGACUUUGGGAUAACUUCAGGAAACUGGGGCUAAUACCGGAUAGGAGCUCCUGCUGCAUGGUGGGGGUUGGAAAGUUUCGGCGGUUGGGGAUGGACUCGCGGCUUAUCAGCUUGUUGGUGGGGUAGUGGCUUACCAAGGCUUUGACGGGUAGCCGGCCUGAGAGGGUGACCGGCCACAUUGGGACUGAGAUACGGCCCAGACUCCUACGGGAGGCAGCAGUGGGGAAUAUUGCACAAUGGGCGGAAGCCUGAUGCAGCAACGCCGCGUGCGGGAUGAAGGCCUUCGGGUUGUAAACCGCUUUCGCCUGUGACGAAGCGUGAGUGACGGUAAUGGGUAAAGAAGCACCGGCUAACUACGUG